Molecule: non-coding RNA, 4672 nt
Organism: Podarcis lilfordi (Lilford's wall lizard)
Lineage: Eukaryota; Metazoa; Chordata; Lepidosauria; Squamata; Lacertidae
Source: the annotation of a GenBank genome assembly
CAUUAGUUAGAUUACUCAGUGCUGACUUCGGAAAAAUGAAUUUAUAAUUCAGUUGAUACUGAAUAUGAUACUUGAGCAGGGCCUCAGUUUUUUAAAAAAAUAACCUACAUACAAAUGAAGCCAGAGCUUCGUUUACUGAUUUUGGCAUUGCAGUUUUCAGUACUAAAGAUGCAAGACAAUUUUCAAACUAAACAACUCAUCUCUUCAGAAGUGAACAUUGCCAACAAAUUAAGGGUGCAAUCCUAAACACACUUUCUAGGGAGUAAGCACAGUUGAACACUGUGUGGUUUGUUUCCAGGUAAACACGCACAUGACUGCUCUGUAAGUUCCUGUAACAUUCACGAGUAUCGCCUGUAUGUACAUACCAUAGUUUUUCAGACUGAUAAAAUUACUGUUUUCAGAACCAUUUAAGGGAGUGUUGACCCUGAAGAUGCCGCAAAUAAAUAUUUUGGCAUUAUACUAUGUAAAAAGAUAGGAAAUACAACAGAGGUAAUGCUAACUGUUGAAUACUGGGGCAGGCAGAUGGGUGGUGGAAAUAAAAGAAAUGGAACGAAUAGGUUACAAACACAGUUAAUGUCCCUAUAAUCUGUGUGAGGCAGCUAUCACAGAAUAAGGGACAAGUUCCUGAGCCCCAAAACACUGAUAAGAAGGGUUUAAAACAAUGGGUGCUUACUAUGACAGCAAGUCAAUUGUUGCAUAUUUAUUUUUGUUUGCAUGUUCUUUGCUUAUGAAAUACAUGGGAGUGCUAUGAACAUAUACCCAUGCAUCAAAAGUUCCUACUCAGGAUGCCGGUAUUUUCCCCACCUCAAGCAUCCUAGAGUCCAUCUGGAUAAGUACAAUAUAUUCCUAGAAAUUCUACAGGAUUUUUAGGGGGUUUUGUUUGCCCAUUAGCAUGCAGCGGUGUGCAACUACUGUAAGAACUUACUAAGGCACCACAUCUGCCUUGCAUGGGAUCAAAGUAAGAACACAAAUAGGUGUAGAUAAUUUAUAAAAGUGAUCAGUUUAAAGAAGAAGAAUUGCCUUACAUACUAAGAGACCAGUAUUCUAGGUUCAUAUAAUUUCUGAGCAGAGUCUUUGAUUACUUAUACUGGCGCAAUCCCAGUAAUGCCCAUGGACUUCUUCACUAUAUGGAUUUAUGAGCAAUGAGAUGACACCAAUUUAAAUUAGCAAUUAAUUUCUGGUGUGUAAAGCUUGAAAUAGUUUGCCUUUGGAGCUAUACAUUAGCAUUCAGAUGUAAAUUUCCACCAAUUAUACAGGAUUUUUAUAUAGCCAGAUUUUUAUUUUUUUAAUGAGAGCAAAUAUUCAGCCCUUAAAGGUAAAGGGACCCCUGACCAUUAGGUCCAGUCGUGGCCGACUCUGGGGUUGCAGCACUCAUCUCGGUUUACUUGCCAAGGGAGCCGGCAUACAGCUUCUGGGUCAUGUGACUAGCAUGACUAAGCCGCUUCUGGCGAACCAGAGCAGCACAUGGAAAUGCCGUUUACCUUCCCGCCGGAGUGGUACCUAUUUACUUGCACUUUGAUGUGCUUUCAAACUGCUAGGUUGGCAGGAGCAGGGACUAAGCAACAGGAGCUCACCCCGUCGCAGGGAUUCAAACCGCCGACCUUCUGAUCGGCAAGCCCUAGGCUCUGGUUUAACCCACAGCACCACCCACCUUAGUUUGUACUUAAUGCAUCUAUCCACAAGACUGCAAUUGACCAUUUCCCUCCACUUUUUGGCUACAAUUUUUAAACAAAACCAGGGUUCACAAACCUACUUGGAUUAAACAUGUCUCUCUCUGCUAGUGGAAAGGAACUUUGGUGCUAAUGGACACUUGUGGUCACUAGAACGCUAGUUCAGCCAGGAGAACUGAGCAACACCUUUGCCCAGUCCAACCUGUUCUGUGUGUUUAGGAUUGUGGUCUAAAUGAUCAAUAGUAGCAAACAAUCACAACUGGAUUUCACAAAAAUCAUCAUCUUCUCUUCUUUUUUGCGCAACCAAAAAUCAUUUUAACAAAAUCUUGUUAAAUAAUAAUUAUAUUUCAACCCACAAUUUUCUGAGAAGCCAUUGCUCUAGUCCAUAUCAUAAUCUAAGACAAGGUGACAUUUUAUUUCUGCACAUCUUCUUAACAUAGAAGAUAAAACUGUUGGGAAAAAUUAUCUUUACAAGUGGAACACCCACAGACUAUUUUGUGUGGUGAGGUAACCAUUUGCUCUAUGGUCAAUCUCAGUGUUGCACAUCUAGCCAUGUGAGAUCAUGGCCACCUGUUGCAUCAUGUGAUGAGGAAAAAUUUACUAAGUCCCUGCUACCAGUGGGAAAUGAGGGCAAGAUAGAUGCCUAGCCAUUUGGUUUCCCAUAAGCCAAAUCCUGUGUGGUGAUAGGUUUCUAUGAACAGUACAUCUUGGGCAGCCUGCUGGUAGGUGUUGUUGUUUUUUUAAUUGCCUUUUUUAUUUCUGCAUUCCCAUAUUUACUUAUUUUGUGCCUUUGCAAAUCACUUUUAUAUUAACUUGAACAAGUAACAUUACUACAUGCAAGCUUUCCAAGUUGUAUUUCAAGUAUCCAUCACAUGACUAGCAGUUGUAUGAAGCGGCCACAAAUACAGGUGUUUGUCUGAUGCAGGUUCACUCAAGAUGCUCAUGUAGGCCCACCAAUCCUUUGGCAAGUGCUCGCCAUGGGUAAAUAUCACUUGAACCUGGUGGUCACAGAUAUGGCUGGCCAGAAUUCACAUUUUUCCAGAGGCCACAAUUGCAGGCAUUGUGGCCAAUUACGUAUCGGACAGCCCACCUGGUAAUAUGUUAGCAUUAGCCAUCAGUUGCAAAUGUGCCCUAGAUUAUACUCAUUCAUUUUUGUGUAUGUCAGAGGGGGCAGUUUCCACUAUACGGUAUCGGCAACCUGUAGGAAAUUCCUGCUAGGACUUAAUGUUGUCAUGUUAUAAUGAUCUGUUUCCAUUCCUCUCGCACUCCUUAACAUAGAACUCAAUUAGUCCAUAGUUGCAGGGGUUUUUUCUCUUGGUGCCAGCAUUGUUUUAAAAAAAAACAGGAAAGGCGAUAGAGUGCUAUCUAUAAGUCUGGCACCUUUCUGCUAGCAUUUACAUGGUCUCAAUACAGUUCUUCGGUGUAUGUCAUUACAAUGGCAUGUUUUUAUUGUUUACACUCACUGAGCAACUUAAGAAACGGAAGUAUUCUGUACAGUAAUUUAUGCUCUAAAGUGUGUGUGUGUGUGUAUGUAUAUAUGUAUGUAUGUAUAUGUAUAUAUAUAUAUAUAUUGAAAGGUUUGAAGUUAUUAAUUUAUUGAAUUAGUUGGCAUUUCCUCCCCAGUCUCCAAGGGUGCGUCAGAAAGGAACAGCAAUAUCAAGGAGCCCAGGGAUUUGCCUUUUGGUCUGUCUAGCUCACUCUCAUUUUCACUGACAGCCGGCAGCUCUCCCAAGAUUUUAGACAAGGGGGUCUCUCCCAGUCCUAAUUGGAAAUAUCAGGAACUGAAAUCUGGACCUACUGCAUCCUGAGUUAUGACUCUCUCCCCAGCUCUAUGUCAUGGGCAACUUUCUUCGACCUAACUUUCCAAAACACCCUUGUAGUUGCAGAUAACUUUCUUCUUAGACAAUACUAAUCUGAGGCUAUGGCUGCUGCAUUUUGAUCACUUUGCAGUGAAUUAUUUACGCCAAACCUAUUAUCAAUUUAAUUAGAAGUAGCAAUGUCAGAGUGUCAAUCCAAGCAAUACAUAGCGAAUUAGGAAGGGAAGGGAGUAAUAUUAGUUCUUUAUAACUACAAAACAUACAUGAUACAUGACAAGAACGGACUGCAAAGUGCUUUUCCAUUUUGCCUCUUUGAGACCAAAAACAGGAAGCCAAUCAAAAUACUAAGCUCAUCUGCAGCAAGUCUGUCUCAAUUCCUUCCUCAAGGAAUAUAGCUGAAGCUGAAAUGAUGCAUCCAUUGGUGUGUCUGUUUGUUGAUGAUAAUGAAUACAGGUGUGUUCUUAACCUUGAGGGGUUAAUUCACAUGCUGUUUGUACCAGUGUAUAUUCACGUCAUUAGAACUGCAUCAAUGUGAGUGGUUUGUCAUUUCCUGAGAGUUUUGUCUCAGCCAAGCAUGUGACUGAUGGAGUGAAUAGCGUGCUUAUGUACUAUUUGAACUUGAUGGUCUCCCAAAUUUUGUAAUAGGAAUUGCAGGAUGUGCAAGCAACGUCUGUAUUAUUCUGCCUUCUAGAGUAUCAAACUACUUGACAUAGCUCAGCAGAUGACAUUUAUUCAAUGCCAUAUUUGCAAAUAAAAUAUUAAAUCCGUUGGCCCCACUUCAUGAUAAGGAAAAUAAUGUGAGAGGUUUGUUUGUUUAUAGCUCUUUUACAUAGUUAAAGUUCAUGUGUAUAAAGUGAUGAAAUAUUAUUGACAAAUUGUUUUGCUGUUUGGAGAUUUUGCUGUUUCUACCAUUCAUACAAAACUCAUGUAGCACAGUUCCUGGAAUGGUGAAAAACCCUACUGUAAUGUUACAGAAUGAGCCUUAAGGAUUUGUUUUUGUUUUGUUUUUUAAAAAAGCACUUUUAUAUUAUAAAUAUUAAUUCAUCGAUAAGAUUACUUUUUUAAUGUGAAAAUAAACCAUGAACUCGACACCUUUAACAUCUCAAUUUUGUCUCAUCUGAGUCAUUUUGGGAAACGUAUAAAGCUGCCAUUAUUGUAGCAGUACAUGUUUCUAAACCAUAGGGC